AAUCAACGCUGGCGGCGUGCCUAACACAUGCAAGUCGAACGCGAAAGGGGAGCAAUCCCUGAGUAGAGUGGCAAACGGGUGAGUAACACGUGGGUGACCUGCCUUCGAGUGGGGGAUAACGUCCCGAAAGGGACGCUAAUACCGCAUGACAUCCUGCUCUUGGAAGAGCGGAGAUCAAAGCUGGGGAUCGCAAGACCUGGCGCUUGAAGAGGGGCCCGCGCCUGAUUAGCUAGUUGGUAGGGUAAUGGCCUACCAAGGCAACGAUCAGUAUCCGGCCUGAGAGGGCGGACGGACACACUGGGACUGAGACACGGCCCAGACUCCUACGGGAGGCAGCAGUGGGAAUUGUUCGCAAUGGGCGCAAGCCUGACGACGCAACGCCGCGUGGAGGACGAAGAUCUUC
Molecule: ribosomal RNA, 403 nt
Filed under: uncultured bacterium
Lineage: Bacteria
Description: bacterial SSU rRNA
Rfam family: Bacterial small subunit ribosomal RNA
Source: RNAcentral